CUUCUCUCCGGCGGCGCGACGGUACAAAUGGGGGAGGGACACAUUCCUCAGCUUGUCUCUCUCUGCGCACUGUUACCGGGAGGGUUGAAGACAAAGGUCUGCAUAUCUGGAGACUCAAGCAUGCACCGGGAACCUCACCUUACUUCAGUGCUAUUUGCAGGAAUGAUAUAGCUCGUGCAAGGGCAAGCUGGUUUGGAUAUUCAUCUGUCUCAAGUAUGACUGCAAGAAACAAUCAUUUCUGACAGUGGGAGAAUAACCUUAACUCCUUGUGCUGCUUGACAUUUCUUUUGAUAUUAGUGAGAUAUUACACGCAAAAGCUGAGACAGAAGCACUAGAAGAGUCUGUCAGAGAAGUACAUACACUUGAUAUGGAAUAAGAACUAGAGUGAUCUUCUCACCUAUGCAGAUUUCCUAAACACAACACCAGCAAUCAUAGGAAGUCAUCCCAGUAUUGCAGGCAACUUUGCUUGUCCUUUGUAAAGGUCCAAGCAUUAAAUUAAAUUUACACUGCAGUUAAUUGUAUGUUCAGAACUCUGUUGUAUAAUCAAAAAUCUACAGGGAUCAAAGAUCUAUCUUUUAAAUACACUCAGGUGUUUAAAAGCUCUGUUUUCAAUCCAUUUUUAAAGGAAGUGAAGACUUGGAAUAUGUAAAGGAAGAAGCAAGUAUGUUUUUAGGUGUUCAGUAAAACUGAAAGAUGAUUUGAGGUAUCGACUACACAAGUGUCUUUACUGAACUUAUCACAAUACUAAUUAUUUCUGUCAUUAGAACAACCAUAUACACUACUACUACUACUACUGCAGAAACCACGGCCACCUUCUAUAAGAACUGUUUCCUUAGACAUGAAGUUAAAACACUCAGUGCUGGAUGCUGUAGAAGAACCAUCUUUUCACUGCCCAACUGAUCACUUUUACCCCAGAUUCCAGGAUAGUGAUAGGAGGCUGAAAAAAUCUUAACAUCCAGUUACAAUAACUUCUCUUCUCUUCUCUUCUCUUCU
This 993-nucleotide long non-coding RNA is filed under the name Gallus gallus (chicken). RNAcentral describes it as "lncRNA (ENSGALG00010013895.1)". Lineage: Eukaryota; Metazoa; Chordata; Aves; Galliformes; Phasianidae. The record is from RNAcentral.